UCCGGUAAUUGCCUCCCCUUAUCGUAAACAAAAUAAUUAAAACACUAUAAUAAUGUUUUGUCUCAGUCAGCAUAUAAUUAGGUCAUGUCUGGUGAUGUAUAUACUACUGAAUCGCAAACAUAUGACCAGCGAACAGCUAUGUUAUUGCCCCUUUUAACACUUUAACUUUAACAAGCAUUUUAUAGUAAAAAGUUGAGAUGGUGUCAAAACCAUAUGGGUGAUAUGAAGUUCCGGCCCAGCACUGACAGCAUCUUUCAACACUUCAAAGGCAGCAUGCAUUUGUAAAUACCAGGAGCAGG
Molecule: non-coding RNA, 299 nt
Organism: Paramormyrops kingsleyae
Lineage: Eukaryota; Metazoa; Chordata; Actinopteri; Osteoglossiformes; Mormyridae
Source: RefSeq, a predicted model, not a curated record